GAUGAACGCUGGCGGCGUGCCUAAUACAUGCAAGUCGAGCGAACAGACGAGGAGCUUGCUCCUCUGACGUUAGCGGCGGACGGGUGAGUAACACGUGGAUAACCUACCUAUAAGACUGGGAUAACUUCGGGAAACCGGAGCUAAUACCGGAUAAUAUAUUGAACCGCAUGGUUCAAUAGUGAAAGACGGUUUUGCUGUCACUUAUAGAUGGAUCCGCGCCGCAUUAGCUAGUUGGUAAGGUAACGGCUUACCAAGGCGACGAUGCGUAGCCGACCUGAGAGGGUGAUCCGCCACACUGGAACUGAGACACGGUCCAGACUCCUACGGGAGGCAGCAGUAGGGAAUCUUCCGCAAUGGGCGAAAGCCUGACGGAGCAACGCCGCGUGAGUGAUGAAGGUCUUCGGAUCGUAAAACUCUGUUAUUAGGGAAGAACAAAUGUGUAAGUAACUAUGCACGUCUUGACGGUACCUAAUCAGAAAGCCACUGCUAACUACGUG
This 497-nucleotide ribosomal RNA is filed under the name uncultured bacterium. RNAcentral describes it as "partial 16S ribosomal RNA". It matches the Rfam family "Bacterial small subunit ribosomal RNA", at positions 28 to 507 of the family's 1533-position model. The record is from RNAcentral.